UGGGGAAUAUUGGACAAUGGGGGCAACCCUGAUCCAGCAAUGCCGCGUGUGUGAAGAAGGUCUUCGGAUUGUAAAGCACUUUCGACGGGGACGAUGAUGACGGUACCCGUAGAAGAAGCCCCGGCUAACUUCGUGCCAGCAGCCGCGGUAAUACGAAGGGGGCUAGCGUUGCUCGGAAUGACUGGGCGUAAAGGGCGUGUAGGCGGUUUACACAGUCAGAUGUGAAAUCCCCGGGCUUAACCUGGGAGCUGCAUUUGAUACGUGUAGACUAGAGUGUGAGAGAGGGUUUGUGGAAUUCCCAGUGUAGAGGUGAAAUUCGUAGAUAUUGGGAAGAACACCGGUGGCGAAGGCGGCAACCUGGCUCAUGACUGACGCUGAGGCGCGAAAGCGUGGGGAGCAAACAGGUUAGAUACCCUGGUAGUCCACGCCUGUAAACGAUGUGUGCUAGAUGUUGGGUAACUUUGGUUAUUCAGUGUCGCAGU
Molecule: ribosomal RNA, 482 nt
Filed under: uncultured bacterium
Lineage: Bacteria
Description: partial 16S ribosomal RNA
Rfam family: Bacterial small subunit ribosomal RNA
Source: RNAcentral